Molecule: long non-coding RNA, 1050 nt
Organism: Dreissena polymorpha
Lineage: Eukaryota; Metazoa; Mollusca; Bivalvia; Myida; Dreissenidae
Exons: 2
Source: RefSeq, a predicted model, not a curated record
GGUUUUCAUGAUGAUCCCAAAACCCUUGUACCGUUACACAGCUCAAACAUACACAGACGUGAAAAUGUUAACGAAUUGCACGUAAAGCUGUAAAUACUAUUGAGGCCAAUCGUGUGCUUUUGUAACACACAUAUUAGCCAAUAUUAUCAAGAUGUGUUUACCUAUCAUGCGGAUAUAUCAAACCGAUUGACAAGAUUGCGUGGGAAAAUUAGUUUAAAAAUAAACUGGAAGGUGCACAUAACGACGAUAAAGAAAUGAAAAACAUUACGUCGAGCUUUGUCCAUUUGAACACCGACACAUUAAUGGCGUAAUUGAUGAGGGACAGAUUGGACAUUAUCAAAUAAUAAUAAUAGUUAGAUGAAAAAAAGCCGAAGAUGAUAAAAGCAAGAGACCGAUGCACAUAAACGGACAGACAAACUGUUGGUUUAAAAACAGUUCAACCUGCUGAGCAAUCGUCAUUCCCUCCGCCAUCCCGCAUGUGUUUUUGCAUACUUAUAUCAAGUAUUGAUGUAUAGAGAAUAACAGGUUACUGUCCUAUCGUUCUGUAAUAUAGCAGGCGAGGCUUAGAAUAAUAUAAUGGCGAGGCUUGCCUAGCCAUUAUUUUAUUCGUGCCGAGCCUGAUAUAUUACAAAACGAUGGGACAGUAACCCGUUUUUCUGUUUAUCAUACCACAUUUUCAUAAAAACCUGCAAAACAAUCUUGUUUGUAUAUUUAAAUGUACGGAUCCCCGCUGAUAUUGCUAAUCCGACUUUUACACGUUGACAUGCAUGUAGCAACGGCGUUCGAAAAGACGACACGAAUAAACGCUUAUUUUAAACAUCGUAUAGAGAAAAAAAGUUGUUUGACCUACGAAUGGGAAGAGUACACCCGCCUUAAUUAUAAACGUAUUGAAUUGGAGAUCUGGAAUGGACUGCAGCGACAAAUUCAAUCGAAGAACACACUUCACCGAAUAGUUUGGAGACGGCAUUUUGGAGAUGUGUAUUGAAAUUGACAUUUUGAUGAUGAUGUCAAUAUUGACAUAAGCGUGUUAAAUCGUUUGAUUAAAUAGUU